ACGCUCGACACCUACGGGAGGCGGCAGUCGGGAAUAUUGCGCAAUGGAGGAAACUCUGACGCAGUGACGCCGCGUGCAGGAAGAAGGUUUUCGGAUUGUAAACUGCUUUAGACAGAGAAGAAAGAAAUGACAGUACCUGUAGAAUAAGCUCCGGCUAACUACGUGCCAGCAGCCACGGUAAUCUGAGCGGGCUGGCAAGGC
RNAcentral lists this ribosomal RNA (201 nucleotides) under uncultured bacterium. RNAcentral describes it as "partial 16S ribosomal RNA". It matches the Rfam family "Bacterial small subunit ribosomal RNA", at positions 328 to 539 of the family's 1533-position model. The record is from RNAcentral.